Molecule: non-coding RNA, 73 nt
Organism: Paramuricea clavata
Lineage: Eukaryota; Metazoa; Cnidaria; Anthozoa; Malacalcyonacea; Plexauridae
Source: the annotation of a GenBank genome assembly
GACCGCGUAGCUCAGUUGGCAGAGCAUUGGGCUAGUAUUCCAAAGGUCGUAGGUUCGAUUCCCACCGUGCCCA